RNAcentral lists this ribosomal RNA (292 nucleotides) under uncultured bacterium. RNAcentral describes it as "partial 16S ribosomal RNA". It matches the Rfam family "Bacterial small subunit ribosomal RNA", at positions 337 to 647 of the family's 1533-position model. The record is from RNAcentral.
ACCUACGGGGGCAGCAGUGGGGAAUAUUGCACAAUGGGGGAAACCCUGAUGCAGCGACGCCGCGUGAGUGAGGAAGUAUUUCGGUAUGUAAAGCUCUAUCAGCAGGGAAGAAAAUGACGGUACCUGACUAAGAAGCCCCGGCUAACUACGUGCCAGCAGCCGCGGUAAUACGUAGAGGGCAAGCGUUAUCCGGAUUUACUGGGUGUAAAGGGAGCGUAGACGGCAGCGCAAGUCUGGAGUGAAAUGCCGGGGCCCAACCCCGGAACUGCUUUGGAAACUGUGCAGCUCGAGU